GUUAGUUGCUAACGCGUGAAGGCGAGCACUCUAGACGAACUGCCGUUGACAAAACGGAGGAAGGUGGGGAUGACGUCAAAUCAUCAUGCCCCUUAUGUUCUGGGCUACACACGUGCUACAAUGGCCGGUACAGACGGACGCAAAGCCGCGAGGUGGAGCAAAUCCUAAAAAGCCGGUCUCAGUUCGGAUUGCAGGCUGCAAUUCGCCUGCAUGAAGUCGGAAUCGCUAGUAAUCGCAGGUCAGCAUACUGCGGUGAAUACGUUCCCGGGCCUU
Molecule: ribosomal RNA, 273 nt
Filed under: uncultured Pelotomaculum sp.
Lineage: Bacteria; Bacillati; Bacillota; Clostridia; Eubacteriales; Desulfotomaculaceae
Description: partial 16S ribosomal RNA
Rfam family: Bacterial small subunit ribosomal RNA
Source: RNAcentral